GCAGAGGUGUGAGUGUUUCUCAUCUUCCUUAGUGUAGGUACAGGAGCAGCAGAGGUGUGAGUGUUUCUCAUCUUCCUUAGUGUAGGUACAGGAGCAGCAGAGGUGUGAGUGUUUCUCAUCUUCCUUAGUGUAGGUACAGGAGCUACAGAGGUGUGAGUGUUUCUCAUCUUAGUGUAGGUACAGGAGCAGCAGAGGUGUGAGUGUUUCUCAUCUUAGUGUAGGUACAGGAGCUACAGAGGUGUGAGUGUUUCUCAUCUUAGUGUAGGUACAGGAGCUGAGUGUUUCUCAUCUUCAUUAGUCCAGUGAAGAUGUUGGGCAUGACAACAUGGAUCCUGCCAGCUGCUUUUGGACACAGGCCUUCUUAGAUGUUUUCCUUUUUCUUGUCAGUGAAUCCAUAAGUAUAUUCAAGAGUGUUUCCUAACCCAUCCUUGUUGUGCUAGCAAGUCAGUCAUGCACUGGAACCUUUGCUUCCUCCUGACUUCAUUCACCUUCACAAACCCAAAAGCAAAACAUGCAAAUUCUUAACCUCCUAAGUAGGAAAGGUGCCUUUGAUUUGCAGAGUAGCACUCAGAAGGGCAGAAUAGCCUAAAGAUAGGACAGAAGUCUGUUGAAAAGAUGUGUUGUGUUCUUUCUGGUGUGCCUGGUUUGGGUUUUUUUCCCCUUACACAAAGCUGUCAUCACUUGUUUAGCUGUGUAAGGUGAAAUAAAAGCUUGGGAGUGGUUCACUGUGUUCUGCAAUGAACAGAUGCAGAGAUGGGUGUAGAGCAAACCCUGGCUUUGUAAGUCAUAUCACUAGUAGGUGUUCAAGUCAGAAAGGAGCUUUUGUUUUCCCUUGGGACAACUUAAAAUAUUAAGGUGGAGCUGUGUGGCCCAGCUGUGGGUAAUUAUCAGGCAGCAACCUACCUAAUAGGUCUGAUAAAGGCUUAUCAUCAUCAUUACAUUGAGCCAAAAUCUGUUCUUGUGAGUUUCUUACUCUGCUGAACUCCUCACCUUUAACUGCUCUUUCCAUAGAUUUCAUACCAAUGGAGAGGUGUUUGGCUUGUAGUGAGCAUUUGAGCCUAAGCCCUGCAGAAAGACCUGGAUAUCCCAUUUGCUUCCUCAGGGGGAGGUCUCUUCCCUGCAGGAGCACAGACCAUGAAUGUCUGUGAAUGUGCACCCAGUUUGAGCCCUGAGCUGUGGUGCUUGACCAUGUCCUGGUCUCCUGUGCUGGGAACAAAACUGAAGUAGAGAAGAGGAUUAAACCACCAAACUCCAGCUCCAGCAACAGCAUUGGUAGGGCUGAAGCUUCCUGAUGAGAGAACAAAAAUGAGCCAACUUCAGCUCUUUUGUUUAUACAACAGCUGGGGAUCCCCAGUCUCUUGCGCCCAGUUGCAUCCCUGCUGCUGGCCAGGAUCUCUGAGCAGUCUUCUUUCUUUGGAGCAGAGAUGGGAGCCACAACUCUGUCUCAUGACCCUUUCCCCUGUAUGCAGUGUCACUUAAGUGCACCUUCUCCACAUUUCUUGCUCUGACCUUUCUUUGUCAGUGGUGCUUCAGGUGAGUGUCACCUGCACAUCUUCUCUGGCACUCCCUAAGCUCAAGGUGAGAAAGGAAAAGUGCAAGUUGUGACCUGAGUGUCUCCUUUUAUUUCUUUCUUUUAACUUCUAGCUACCAGUCUGUGGGACAGUUCUGUCCUCACCUAUUUCAAACAGCUUUUUCCACUUCCAGUGGCUCACAGGAAACCCUCCCUUAGCAGCUAGACUUGCACAGGUUGGUGCUGUACUUCUUCACCCCCAGUGUAACCCAACUGAUGGUACUGAUGCAGCUGCAGGUACAAAGGAUUUGGCUCGUUAUGCUGACUGCAUAUUUCAUAGACUCACAGACUGGUUUGGCUUGGAAGAGACCUUUAAAGGUUAUCCAGUCCAACCCUCCCAACCCUGCACUCAGCAGGGGUGGGAUCUUUUUGGUGUAGUGAUGUUGUGUCGAUGUGGUGUAAGAUGCCACCCUGAAAAACAUCACCAUCAUCAUAGUGUCUUGUAGCAGAAGCCUUUUUGGUGUGUCAUGGGAUGUCUGUAAUUGCCAGAGGAGGGAAAAACACACCCAAAAUGACACCAGAGAACCCCCCCCCGGGUAUGUGAGGGCUCCAUUCUUUGCAAUGUCUAAGGCCCUUUUGUUUGGCUGCUGUCUGACCUGCCCAGAUCCCAACUGGACAAUGCUCUAGGAGAUAAAGUGAAGAUGAGGCAGCUGGAUUCAGGCUAACUGGGGGGACUUGGGACAAAGCAGCUCUGUUUGUGGUACCACUCCCAGGUGGAAUGGCCUUAGCUACCUUGCAGGGUGGGUGUGAGAAAUAGCUACCAUAGCCAGAACUUGGCAGGGGCAUUUGCUUUGUGCUGCUCUUCUGAGGCUGUAUUUUUGUAUGGAGGAGUUUUGUGUGUCUGGUUUUGUUUACCCCCAAAGCCCUUACUUGAGAGCAUCUCUGUCCCACUGGUGAAGUCCAUUGUGUAGCUGACAUCCAGGGCUCAGGAGGCAGCAGCAGAAGGGUUCACACCUAAAGAUGAGACGUUUGGAAUGUUCCUCCUGCUGCUGCCAUCAGGAACUUGGAAUCAUCUGCAGUUUCUUUUCUACACUUGUCUAUCUUUUGCCACUUUGCUGUACUUGUGAAGUUGAGGUUUUGCCUUUCCCAGCAGAAAGUAUUCCCCAAAUAAAGAUGGAUUGUUAA
Molecule: long non-coding RNA, 2695 nt
Organism: Pogoniulus pusillus (Red-fronted tinkerbird)
Lineage: Eukaryota; Metazoa; Chordata; Aves; Piciformes; Lybiidae
Exons: 2
Source: RefSeq, a predicted model, not a curated record